RNAcentral lists this non-coding RNA (206 nucleotides) under Onchocerca ochengi. RNAcentral describes it as "Eukaryotic large subunit ribosomal RNA". It matches the Rfam family "Eukaryotic large subunit ribosomal RNA", at positions 967 to 1170 of the family's 3401-position model. Lineage: Eukaryota; Metazoa; Nematoda; Chromadorea; Rhabditida; Onchocercidae. The record is from Rfam by way of RNAcentral.
UUUCCCUCAGGAUUUGGAGUAAUUAUAAAGCUGUUAUAUUCGGUAAAGCGAAUGAUAAGAGAAAUUGCGGGACGAAACGUCUUCCACCCAUUCUCAAACUUUCAAUGAGUAUGACAUCUUGCUUGCUUGGAUGAAGUUUAGACAAUGAAUGUCUGCUUCACGUCGGCCAUUUUUGGUAAACAGAAUUGGCGCUGUGAGAUGAAUCA